CAGACUGCGAAUGCACCUGAAACAAAAACUCACAAAACAAUAACCCCAAACUAAAGGGAGGGAAGGGAGGGUGGCCACCGUCAAUGACGGUUCUUGUGCUACACCCCCUUCCCAAUCCUCCCCCCUACGGAGGUGGCUCAGGAGAGGGAUGCUGACCCCGCUCCACCACUGGCCUACCCCACUUAGGUGGCGCCUCUAGAGCGGGGUCCCUCGCCGCCGGACAGGCGGGCGACUCUGGCUGCGCCGGACAGGCGGGCGACUCUGGCUGCGCCGGACAGGCGGGCGACUCUGGCUGCGCCGGACAGGCGGGCGACUCUGGCUGCGCCGGACAGGCGGGCGGCUCUGGCUGCGUCGGACAGGCGGGCGGCUCUGGCGGCUCUGGCGGCUCCGGACUGGCGGGACUAGCAGUAGGCCUGGCUCUGGGUGCAGGCACAGGACUCACCAGGCUGGGGAGACAUGCAGGAGGCCCGGCUCUGGGAGCAGGCACAGGACCCACCAGGCUGGGGAGACAUGCAGGAGGCCUGGCUCUGGGAGCAGGCACAGGACUCACCAGGAUGGGGAGACAUGCAGGAGGCCUGGCUCUGGGAGCAGGCACAGGACUGACCAGACUGGGGAGACAUGCAGGAGGCCUGGCUCUGGGAGCAGGCACAGGAUAGACUGGGUCUUGAGGAUGUACUGGAGGUCUGGAGCGCACAGCCUGCACAACCCAUCCUGGCUGGGUUGUAACUGUAGCCCUGCACAGGCAGAGUGCUGGCACAGGGCGAACUGGGCUGUGCUGAGGCAUGAUGGCUGCCGUGCGUAGAGCAGGCGCAGGGUAGCCUGGGCCUAGGAGACGCACUGGUGGCCAGAUGUGCUGAGCAGGCAUACUCCUACCUGGCUGGAUGCCCACUCUAGCACGGCACUUGCGGGGGGCUGGAAUGUAGCGCACCAGGCUAUGAGCGUGCACUGAAGACACCGUGUGCUCUAUCGCAUAACACGGUGCCUGACCAGUAACACGCCGCUCCCGGUAAGCACGGGGAGUUGGCUCAGGUCUAAUGCCUGACUCCACCAAUCUCCCCGUGUGCCCCCCCCCAUCAUUUUUUUGGGGCUGCCUCUUCACCUCCACCUGCUUCCCCGGCAGGCUGUUGCAAUGGUCCAAUAGCUCUUCCCAAGUCCAGUCUAUUCUUCCCUCCAAUUCCUCCAGCGACCAGGAUGCCAUCACCUCCCGAGCACGCUGCUUGAUCUACUCCUGGUGCUGCUCCCGUCCACGCUGCUUGGUCCGUUGGUGGUGGGUGGUUCUGUAACGGCUUUUGAAUGGAGUAGACCAAGGCGCAGCGUGGUUAGUGCUCAUCAUAAUAUUUUAAUGGACCAUUUUAAACAAAACAAGAAACGAAUGACAGCCAAAACAGUUCUGUCAGGUAACAACACUAAACAGAAAUUAACCACCCACAAAACCCAAAGGAAAACAGGUUACCUAAGUAUGGCUCCCAAUCAGCGACAACGAAGUACAGCUGUCCCUGAUUGAGAGCCAUACCAGGCCAAAACAAAGAAAUACAAAACAUAGAAAAAAGGACAUAGAAUAAAACCCCAAAACACCCCCUGCCACGCCCUGACCAAACUACAAUAACAAAUAACCCGUUUUACUGGUCAGGACGUGACAUGAGAGCCCCGAGACAAAAGUACAAAGGUCUUUUAUAGCCAAGAUACACCCCUUUCAGUCUACAUGACGAACAACAGAUGUAUGGAAUGGGUCACAAGGUUAAGAUUUGUAUGAAAGAUACUUAUAAUUCACAGCAGACAGUAUCUGCUGUAAAAACAGUACUCUUUGUGUACAGACCAGGGUCUGACCCUGGGGUCAUCUCUCCCUGGUACCUUAUAGAACAGAAACAUUAACUCAUGCUCUGGAAUGCGGUCUCUUUAGGUUUUAUCACCCAAAAGACAUCAUAAAUCUCCUGUCAGUGUUAUCUCCCAGAGGCCCACUUUCAGUUCACACAGACACAAUAGAGUUAUAAGAACCCUCUAUUCUGUUGCAUAAAACAACCAUUUGAUGCAAUAAAAGUAUUAUAACAUAAUCUUGUAAUUUCCAACAUACGCCGCUGAGCUCUCAAAUACCGUGCCCGUCUCUCCUUGGGACGUCCCUACCCUGAACCCUACACUAGAACUCUUACCUAACCUAAACUUAAUGAAGUAGAAAUUAAAAUGGUUGACGUAGGGAUAUCCCAAAGAUCCCAAAUAGCACGGCCCCUCUGGGAAAGCCUAUGAACUCCUCUAUUCGCUGAAAGCCAUGGACACAACUCUUAUUGGUUGUCUGAUGUAGGCUACUGGGACUGUAUACAGUACCAGUCAAAAGUUUGGACACACCUACUCAUUCCAGGGUUUUUCUUUAUUUUGAUUAUUUUCUAAAACUAUAAAAUAACACAAAUGGAAUUAUGUAGUAAACAAAAAAAGUGUUAAACAAAUCAAAAUAUAUUUUAUGUUUGAGAUUAUUCAAAGCAGCCACCCUUUGCCUUGAUGACAGCUUUGCACACGCUUGGCAUUCUCUCAACUAGCUUCAUGAGGUAGUCAUCUGGAAUGCAUUUCAAUUAAAAGGUGUGCCUUGUUAAAAGUCCAUUUUUGGAAUUUCUUUCCUUCCUAAUGUGUUUGAACCAAUCAGUUUAGUUGUGACAAGGUAGGGGAGGUAUACAGAAGAUAGCCCUAUUUGGUAAAAGAUCAAGUCCAUAUUAUGGCAAGAACAGCUCAAAUAAGCAUAGAGAAACGAUAGUCCAUCAUUACAUUAAGACAUGAAGGUCAGUUGCAAAAAUCCUGAACCUCUAUGAUGAAACUGGCUCUCAUGAGAACCGCCACAGGAAAGGAAGACAUAGUCACCUCUGCUGCAGAGGAUAAGUUCGUUAGAGUUACCAGCCUCAGAAAUUGCAGCCCACAGAGUUCAAGAGUUCACAGAGUUCAAGUAACAGACACAUUUCAACAUCAACUGUUCAGAGGAGACUGCGUAAAUCAGGCUUUAAUGGUCGAAUUGCUGCAAAGAAACUACGACUAAAGGACACCAAGAAACACCAGCAAUGGAUAUUAGACUGGUGGAAAUCUGUCCUUUGGUCUGAUGAGUCCACAUUUGAGAUUUUUGGUUCCAACCGCUGUGUCUUUGUGAGACACAGAGCAGGUGAACGGAUGAUCUCCGCAUGUGUGGUUCCCACCAUGAAGCAUGAAGGAGGAGGUGUGAUUGUGUGGGGGUGCUUUUCUGGUGACACUCUGUGAUUUAUGUAGAAUUCAAUGCACAAUUAACCAGUAUGGCUACCACAACAUUCUGAAGUGAUACGCCAUCCCAUCUGGUUUGCGCUUAGUGGUACUAUCAUUUGUUUUUCAACAAGACAAUGACCCAACACACUGUGUAAGGGCUAUUUGACCAAGAAGGAGAGUGAUGAAGUGCUGCAACAGAUGACCUGGCCUCCACAAUCACCCGACCUCAACCAAUUCAGAUGGUUUGGGAUGAGUUGGACCGCAGAGUGAAGGAAAAGCAGCUAACAAGUGCUCAGCAUAUGUGGGAACUCCUUCAAGGCUGUUGGAAAAGCAUUCCAGAUGAAGCUGGUUGAGAGAAUGGCAAGAGUGUGCAAAGCUGUCAUCAAGGCAAAGGGUAGCUACUUUGAAGAAUCUUAAAUCUAAAACAUAUUUUGAUUUGUUUAACACUUUUUUGGUUACUACAUGAUUCCAUAUGUGUUAUUUCAUAAUUUGUAUGUCUUCACUAUUAUUAUUUUACAAUAUAGAAAAUAGUCAAAUAAAGAAAAAACCCUGGAAUGAGUAGGUGUGUCCAAACUUUUGACUGGUGUUGUACAGCGAGAUAAGAUAACAUACCAUCCCAUGAGGUGUUGAGGGAAUGAUAAAUUACCUAUAGAUUAGAUAUAAUCUUUUCUAGGCAGUUAGCGAUAACAGGAAAUACACAAGCCGUAGGCUACACUAUAGUUCAAGGUGGCUACAUCGGAAUGUUGGCUUGCACAGAAAAAAAACAGUACGUUUCUAUUAUGGUUGAGAUUUAAUGAAUAUAAAUAUAAACUAUGCACCUUAUGACUUUCAUUAACACACAGGCGUCACGCAGAUGUUAGUAAGGCAUUGGUAUGACGACAUGUUAGUUACACGUUCAAUGGUAGGUGACAGCCACACGGUGGUACUGUUGCCUAGGUUAAUUAACACGCAUUUUAAGGCCAAGUCUAAAUCAAGUCUCAAAUGCCUUUUGGCAAUGGCUUUCUGCCUGAAGAGACUCCCUUGUUCAUUUUCCAAUACUUGUAUGAAAAAAGCACUUCAGGCACUAUUUCAAUCAAAAGACAUUUCCUUUUAAAAUGUAGAUAGUUUACAUUAAUAAAAGUAAUUGUACCAGAUAUGAAAAAAAAGCAAACAUAACAUUUUAAAGUGCAUGUUGCAAUGCAUUGUACCUACCAAUCAGACUUCUUCAAUUCAGCUUUAUCUUCAUGUGGUAUGAGGACAUCAUGAUCAAGCCAGAACAGGCAGAAAGAUGGGUCCAGCUGUGCAGCCAUUAUGUAUACAUUGUCACCAAAUGGAGGUUUUGUUGCCUGGUAAUCCAAGUGCUCCAUUCUGACAUUCACAAACACCCCCUGGAAUCAGCGUUUGAGUGACUGCUGCAAUGCUUUUACUAGACUGACUAGGUGACGACUUGUGCUCAGUAUACUUUGCAGAUGAUAGUUGAGUGACAGUACACAAGGAAAGGCAGCACUGAGAGUCAGCACAUUCUCCCCCUGAGUAAGGUUGGUGGCCUGGACAAAAGCGUCCAAUAGCUGGCUCCAUUCCCUUGGUGAUAAGCAGAGCUCCUUGUGUCCUUGGGCCUCAACUAGAGUAUUGAGGCUUUGUUGAUUCAGAUUGGUGACUGCUUUAACAUGCCGGAGGAUAGAAUUCCAUCUGGUAGACACAGCAGCAGGGACACUACUAUUGACUCCGAACUCAGCUUCAAAUGCUUCUUUCAGACCACAGUCAAGAAAUGAUGAGCCAGAGCAACCAAUCAGCAUCACUGCAAUUGUUCUACCCACCACCCACACUGCUCUCCCUUGACAAGCAACCACAUCCUCUUCUCCUGUUCAACUAAUUUGCCGCCACACUGAGAAGGACUGUACAUACAUACCUCUGUGCCCAUCUCAUUGCAACAUGAUCCAUCCAAGGCCAAAGCUGGACGCUUAAAAUGACAAAGAAGAUCGUACAUUUUUCCUGAUCAAAGAGAGGUUUUGAAAGCGUUCUUUGACCAGGGAUUGACCUGGAGAGGGUCGCCUCUGCUGGCUGAGGCAGCCAACAGAACUGGACUGUCGGAGAGUGUAGAGCUCAUAGAGCUCCACAAACAGGUGGCAGAUAUUUUUACGCAGGAUACUUUGGGCUGCACCUUUCUCCAUUAUGCAGUGGAGGUGAGCUGCAAGGAGAUUGACAAGUAAAUCAUAGACAACGAACAUCAUGCAACCGGUUUCCACCGCCUAUUACUGAGGUCAACUCUCUACUAUUAAAGGUCUGUCCUCAAAUAAUAAAAUUAAAAUAGACCUAAUUUAUAUGAAUUACUCAGUUCCUGGAUAAAGUAUGUCAACUGGGUCAAACCUGGUGGAGGCCGGGGCUUGCCUCAUGAAGACUGACCUUCAGGUAAAUUAAAUUGAAUCAGGCUGAUGGUUAUCAUAAUUACCUAGCUCUAGUGUCAGGAAUCCCACUUCCUGAGUCUGUUUUCUGCCUGAGCUGACUGUUUUUUGUUUUGGAGUCUGUUUCCUGAGGUUCCUGAAUGCACCCUGUCUGGUUGCCAGGCGACGAAGCUAGGCGGGAGAUCUCUUGAUUACCCGCACCUGCAUCUCAUCAGCCAUCUGCACAUCUGGUCCUGAUCAUCACCUCUUCACUUCAUAAGCUCUGACCUGACAUCCAUUCCCUGCCGGAUCGUUAGCAAUGAACAUCAUCCUCCUGGAACAUUCAACUCCCUUGCCUGGCUGUCGGUGGUUUCAGUGACAUCAUUGGAUCUGCCUAUUCACUCUCAUCAACUCACCUCCGCUGCCACUCCGUCUCCUGGAUUAUUCUAUUUUCACCUCGAGACUGGUGAGACGCUGAAGCGGCGUGCAAAGAAGGCAAAUGACCAGGAGCUGGCUGAGUACUUGGAGAACCGCCAGUACUACCAGAUGAUCCAACGAGAGGACCAGGAGACUGCUGUAUGAUGAUCCCGCUAUUUACUGCAACCGCACCACACUCUGUCUCUCUCUCUGUUUGCCAUACCUAACAAUAGAAAGCCCUGUACUGGAUUCGAGGGAGGAGGGAGGUGUCUACCCUCUAACAGACCAGGCUGGCUACACCAUAGAAAUAGAAUGACUAUAGAAUGACUAUUACUAUGGGUUACACUACUAGUAUGGGUCAAAGUGUACAGGUGAGCCAGUGGAGGCAGGUCUUCAUUUCUUCCUCUUGCUAGUGAUGCUUCAGUUUGACUAGAGUGUUGAGUGCUAUGUGUCAAGAGUGCAUGUAUGUUAACCGCUUUUCUUCUAUUAUGAAUGGG
This 6487-nucleotide long non-coding RNA is filed under the name Salmo salar (Atlantic salmon). RNAcentral describes it as "lncRNA (ENSSSAG00000114549.1)". The record is from RNAcentral. Lineage: Eukaryota; Metazoa; Chordata; Actinopteri; Salmoniformes; Salmonidae.